CCCGAGGCCCGGCGGUGCGGGGCGCCGGGAGGAGGCGCCUGCUGCUAACAAAAGUCGGCGAUCGGCGGUUGUGCCCGGUCUCCCUGCCCGGCAACAAGUGGCUGGAGGGGCUGCCCGAGCUGAGAGGAGGGUGGGAAGGAAGGAAGGGAGGAAAAAGAAGAAGAAAGAAGAAGAAGAGAAGCUAAGCCCGCGCGCUGUGCGGCGGGUCCCGUGGAUUACAACUGGGGCAGGGAAGGCGCCUUCGCCUCGAGAUGGUGGGCGGCGGGGAGCGGCGGUGAGCAUGAAGGCGGCAGGAUGGGCGCCAGCAACGGCAAGCAGUACGGCAGCGAGGGCAAAGGCAGCUCAAGCAUCUCAUCCGACGUGAGUUCAAGUACAGAUCACACGCCCACCAAAGCCCAGAAGAAUGCAGCUACCAGUGAAGGUAGGCAUCUGGUAUUCAUUACUCAGGCCGGGCCCCCCAGCAUAAUCCUAGCUAUUUUCAGAAAAGGAACCUCUCCUCCUCCUAGUUCCUUCUGUGUACGGUGCUAUUAGCAUACUAGAAAUGAAAAAACAGUUUUUCUUCUUGUGCGGAGUUUCUGCUUCUGCUUGCCGUAUUUUCUGGUUUAAGCUCGUGACAAAGGAUUUAAGGUACCUCUGCAGAAUAAAAGUGUGGAGAGUUUUGAAUAAUGUUGCAUGUUAUUACUUCAGUGAAAACUUUUUAUACUUGAGAUGUGAUCUGAUUUUGAACUUAUUUCUGAAGCAUAUACCUGAUGGAAGCUUGUUUUGGCACGUGUUCUAGGUCAAAACUCAACCUCUUAUUUUCAUAUUAAGAGCAUCAUGAAAUGUGAGUUGUUUCUACUGAAUUUUCAAGUGUGUCUAUAGAUAGGUAGAGCUGAGAGGAUUUAAUUAGAUUGAUGCAUCUCACCUGUAGUUACUAGGCUACCACCUGGGAGUAGAAUUUUGAUGUCUAGGGGAAGGAGAGGUUUGGUAUGUCAGUAGUAACGUAACAUUGCUCUAACUGGCUCAUGAACAGAGAAAUGUUGAUCCUUUCCUGCUGCCUUACUACAUGUGAGUAGGUGUGCUUUGCUAAAUGGAAGUACGUUGGCCCUAGUUUUUACUAGACUGUCUUCACAGGCUGAGAGGAAAUCGUUAAACCUGUAUGUAGUUUAGUGAUGUAAGCUGAAAGUUUUUUUUUUAAAUGAUACAUUUAUAGACCUUAACCAGAAUUUCUACUCAGUCAAAGUACGUCAGUUGUACUUGGUAAUUAUCAAACAAUACAUUUGACUUCUUUCACUUCUACCAUUACAAAUUAAGUUAUAAGCUCUGGCUGCUUUCGGUCUGGCUUUGUUUCUUAUUGUUAGAAGAAACCAUAGGGUUUGAAUUGUUCUCGUUUGGCAAGUCUAGCUAUGACUGUAGAAUCUAAACAGUAAAAGGAGUUCAUGUAAGUAAUAAAUGACCAUAUAAAUCAUGAGAGUUUAUUGUUAGGCGAGCACAAUCCCCUAUCAAGAAUGAAGAUCUGGCACCUGUGAAUCAUAUGAGAUUCUGGUUUAGAAUCUCUGCUUUUUAGUCUGAACAAUAAAUCUAACGAUAAAUGAAUAUACAGUUAAUAAAGUUAAGUUGAAUAGUAGACUUCAUGUUUCUCUAAGCUUUAGUCGGCAAGUUUUGAGGUGCAUGAAGGAGAUGAAUUGCCAAGAUGCCAAGUAAAUUUAGGAAAUGUAUAAAAACAUUUUAACUUUUCUGUAUGACAGCCAAGAAAAAAAGCACAAAGGAGUAGUGGAAACUCUGAAGUCAGUCCUUAACAAUUGCUUUAACUUUCUGUUUUGCUUCAAUCAGUAAAACAUGUCUUUUCCCCUUAUUUUCAAACAGAUAACGCAAAAUAAUUCUUUAUUAAUCUCUAAGAUUUAUGUUGUUAAUCUAGCCUAUUGUAGAGCCAGUGAAUACCAGUGUAGAUCGUGGAAUCUUUACCACAGUUUUGCAGCUGUUCAGUUCAUUAGUGAGGGAGGUUUAAAUACGGGCCAACAGAUGCUGUAGUAAAGAUGUUUUCUGAGCUCUUGUGCAGAUACAGAGUUCACAACAGUAGAGUUGUUACGUUUUCCACUCUUGGAGACUAUUUCAGGUAUGAGCCUACACCCCUUACAGAAGGGUGAAAAUAGGAAGGUGAGUAGAUGAUGUUUAUUUUAAUAGCAGCAGUGGUAGUCCAUCCUUCUAUCUGUGCUGCUGUUGCUUUGCUACCAAGUUUUUCUGCUGAGCAGUUAAUAUGGAUCAAUUAAAUACGGGUUGUAUUAAUAUGGAUUGCUGUAUAAUCUGUCAGAUACUUUAAAUGACAUAACCAGGGAGUGUGAGGGUUUUAUGAAGGCAAGUGAGAGCAGAGAAGUGGACGUGGUGUUGAAGGGGAAAAAAAAAACCACAGGGUCCUGUACAAACCGGUACUAUUACAGGAAGGCCUGUUUUUCAACCAGUUUGUAUGUGGGUUUUUGUUCAUUUGUUUUGUUCUUAACUAAUGAUGCCUCUUUCCCCCAUGGAUAGUAGACUUACCUUGUAGGAGGAUUCAAAUGAAGAGAAGGAAUCAUAUGUUCUGCAAGAUGAGAGGAGUUCUGCACUUAAAGGACUGAAUGCUUUUAUACAGUUCAGUUACAGAGUAGUGUCUAGGGACCAGCUAAGAACAAGAGCUUGAUUGUGUUAGGCACUAUAUAAGCGGUUGCACUCAUGUCUUUUCAUUGGGGUGUUUAAAUAACUUUUUAUAACUGUUUAGUUAAAUUUACCUUUAUAGUACUCUAUCCUCUAGUGUUUGCUUGUCGUGAUAUGGCAGUACCUGCCCACCCCGGAGACUGCUAAGUGUAUCUUGCUCUUCAACAUGAGGCUAGAGGUGGGGCAAACACUCAAAUUCUGUCCUUUGCUUUAACCCCCUGUUGUAAAGUCAUAGCACUGCAUACUGUCUUGUGAACGUGUCAUGAUGUGUAGUGAGAUGUUUGUCCUAGGUCUGUAGUAGAAUGAGAUAUGAAAGGUUUCUGGUCAACUUUUCCUCACCUUCAUUGGCAUGGGAAAUAACUCUUAAAGCAAAGUUAGUUUCAUUACAUCCUUUGAAUUUCUGGUGAUGGCUGAGUUCUUGGGUGCCCAGCUCUGUGAAAAGUAUAGAAUUUUUAUGCAAGGCUGAAGGUCUUUCUUGUCUCCUGCUUUCCAGCUCUGCAAACAGACCUAACUUUCUCCAGUUCUGCACAGCAUCUUUUCUGUUUCUUUAAGACAGUUGACAAAACAUUUAUUGAAGUUGAAUCCCUGAGAAGCCAUGGAAAAACUAGGAAGGAAAUCAUAAGACCAGUUCAUGCAGCUCUUCAGUACUUUACGUUAAAGAAGCAGUCAUGUAAAAUACUUGCAGGCAUGUAUAGAUCACCAAGGAAUGCAAAAAGAUGCAGGGCAGGACUCUUCCUUGAAAGAGGAAACUACCUCAGGAACUCCCUGGCAGCAGGUCUUAUCUUGCUAUUAGUUUGAGCAAUCAAAGGAACUCCAUAUUUGAUCUUCUGUAUUCAUUCUAUUUGUGAAUUUUCAGUCCUGUGAUGUUUCUGUAGAGGGUGAGUUCAAGAGAUGAGCAACUACCUGCUUGAAAUAGCCUGUGUGGUGUUCCAGUCCUAGAUAUGCUGUUGAAGUGACAGCAGUUAAAUCUCUUGAUGGGGAGGGGAGAUGUGGUUAUUGCCUAAAUACAGUGCUGCAGUGCCCUCCUUCACACUGUAGAUUGUGAAUAUCUGUAGAGUUGUGGGAGAUGAUGUUUCAAAGAGACAAGAUGUUUAUAGUGCUAUCAAAUCUUCCUGGGUGAACUGCACAGCAUCUACCAGUGAACAGUAGACAGUACUACUGACAGAUCUCUCGCCUUCCUAAACUCAGACUUGAGGUAACAGCGAUGCAUUGCUCUGAUGUGCAGCGAUGAGGCUGCACUGGUACAGAAACUGAAGUUCUGUCUCUUGCUGAAGUUGCACUCACUGUAGCUUUUACUUUCUGUAAUGCAGUAAAGGGCAGGAGACAAAAAACAGAUGUCAGUGCCUAUCUGUGUAAAUGACUGUAUGUGCUAUAAGUACAGUCUGGCUACAACUUGGCUCAGAAGAAAGCACGGUGAACUGUGGAUGUGCAUGAACUUUGCCUCUGCUCUGUCUCCUCUUCUGAGGAUGCUGUUUUCUUUAGCUUUGAAAUACACUACAUUUUACCUCUUUUCCAGUCUCAGACAUUGUCUGCAAUCCUUUACCCCAUCAAUCACUUAGAGUUAGAAACUUGAGAACACGUGAGUUUUUGCUACCCCCCAUUGCUGUUCUGGCAGGUGAAAGACUAAAUGGAUUUUUGUGGGCUGUUUAAAUGCAAUUUGCUAGACACAGCCUCAGCUGGGAUAUUAUUGUUUAAAGCUUGAUUUAGAAGACUAGACUGAAUGUUUUUGUAUGGGCUUACCUUGGUUAGGGAGCUUUCUUCUAACACUUACCUGCAGAGCAUGGAAUGUUAUGUCCAGGCUGGAUGCUUCGUAUUAACUUGACAGUUUUUCAAAUAAAAAAUCAAUACUGUUUGCACUUCAUGUGUAGAUGGCUCUUAAAUGGUAAUCCAGAGGCUGCUUUAAAUUGAGAGCUCGUGCAUGAGCUCCAUGUAUGAGUUCUAAUUUAUUUCUCAGUUUCUAUAAAAUCAAAAUGAAGUGUUAGGCCUGAAACAAAAAUACUGUUUUAGCAGUAGGGUCAAGUGCUGAAAUACCUUUGAAUGUAUCCUGUUAAUGUUUAUUUUAAAUUCUGUGGAAAUACAGUGAAGUCAGUUGCUGUAUUCUGCAGAAAUUAAAACUAUAUCUGCUUUCAUAGAUGCUGACUUUUAGAGACCUUGAAUUUUUUUCCCUUCAGUAAUAUCCUUAGAACUCCAGAGUCUGUCUUCACUGCAUGAUGUUCACAUACCUUAAACGAACUUGAAAAUGACUCAAUUUAGAAAACAGACAAAUUAAGAGGAUGCAGCUUUUUGCACGCUAGCAUUGCCUUUUAUGCUUAGUGUGGAGACCAAAUGCAUUUGUUUUGUCAGUGCAUCUCAGCAGAAGAGGUAUUACAUUCAAAGUUUAGAUCUUUGUUUCAUACAUGCAAGGAAGAUGCCAAGUCACAGUUCUGGUAGUUGUAUCCUCCUUUCUGUUUUAUUGGAGCUUUUCAGCAGUUCUGAGAGAAACAGCUUCAGUAAUGUGAUGGGAGCAACCACAUCUAUUAGGAACCAUUCACUUCAUUAAAUCACAUUUGGGUGAAAAUGUAGCAUUUCACAAAUAUGUAAUGUGUUAAUUACUCAUGUAAGAGUGUUACUGUAUACCCUGUGUAAGAUGACAUCUGGCUAAGAUCAAUCAAGUAAUGUUACCGUGAUCCUUGGCAUCCUUUUCUGGUGAGUCCCUGAUAACGAAACUUAAAUGGCUGGAAUGUUGGUGAAUCCCAGUCUGUGUUAGGGAAAUCCUGCUAUCUGUCCUCUUCCCUUGACAUCUAGUAAGUUCCAGAGGAAGGUGUGGCUGUGAAUGAGGAUCUACUCUUUUCCCUGCAGUGGUUUUCAUUCUGACACGUCUACAAUUGCUACAGUCCUUCAAAAAUAAAUAUAUACUGGAUAGAGUAUAUAUUGCCUAGAGUUCCAGCAAGCUGCAAGUCUGACUGAAAGCUCUGAAAUUCAUAGGACUUCUACUGUUCUACAGGUGCUGAUUCAAGUUUUCAUCUAAUUGCAGAAAUAGCAGGUACCUAAGUAUCUGGAACUGGAUUUAUAUUCAGUUUAACAAGACAAAGAGUGUAGCUGGAUAAGCUUUUUCAAGAAAAGUUAUCUUCUAUUCAUCUAGAAGUAGUAGAAGUGCUUCAUAUGUUUGCUGUACUCUUCAGUUGAUUCAUUUCUUAAGAAAAUAACUUUCAAGUGACUUUCAGAAGUGACCAGCAUUUGACUACUGCUACUACAUCUCUUUAUUCUACAGGCUGUAAGUGAAUUAAUGCGUGAUUAAUGCUAAGUUGAGGAAAGUAGGAACAGGGAAUAUUCAGUUGUAUCACUUCUGCUUUGAGACCUAAAAUAUCAGUCAUUGUGGAGGACUGUAGAGAAUAAUGGAAAAAGCAGCUGCCUUUCAAACAAUUUUUUAGGAUCUGUGGAAAGACAGAUUGAGCUUUAUCGAUAUGUGAAAACUCUCAAAGCAGUAGUUUCACACCCUUACUUAUUUUAUCAAAGAAUUAUAUAAAUUUUUGUCCCAGGCUUUCAUACUCAGAAGUGUAAGAAAUUAGGAAUUAAUUUUUUUUUUAAUUUUCCUGAAGAACUUUAUAGAACCUUCGUUUCCUGAGUUGUCUGAGCUCUGUAUUAGAAAGGCCCCGUCAGUGCUCUUUGUGAUCGUAUAUUAAGUGACGUUUGUUGAACACAAAAAGUUCCAUUUGGGAUAUAUGUCUUUCAUUUCAACUUACCAAUGAGUGAAAAAAAAGUGAGAUGAAAUACACACUGUAGGGUCUUGUCAGGGAAGAUGUCAUGCUGUUAAUUUCUCCUGGCUUCAUAAUCACAUUCUUUAAGAAGGCUGGGUGUCUCUGUAUCUCCAAACAGCUCUUAAUUUAUUUGAUGAGUUUAAGGAGAUCUUUGUGUUGUACUCAAUGGACAUCGUAAUUUAAUCUUUCCAAAUUUUUAUGUCUUUUGAUAUUGAAUCUUUUGAUAUUUAAGUAGUUUCAUGAAGGAGAGGCAUCCAAGUUUGAAAAUUUGGGUAAGUCCUGAUGUUAUUUCAGAGAGAGAGAAAAGUCCCAGAGAACCAGUUUAUGAAUAGGCAAUUCUUCUGUGUACUGUGUUUCGCGGUAUAUGAUAGAUAGCAUUGUUUAACAUAGUGGAGUUCCAGUGAAGCUUCUGAAUGGCUUGUACAUCUUCUCUGGACCUGGAAAUAAUUGUGUGUUGUGAAAAAAAUUGUUGAAAAGAGACGCUGUUUUCCAACCUAGUUUUUCUACUGUCCUGUUGGCAAGAAGAGCUCUUCUGAUUAAUUCCUGUGUCUGAUACUUGUUAAAUAAUCUUUUGCCACUUCAGUUCUUUAAUAUUUUUCCUUUCAUUUUGUCUUUAACAUUAGACGCUUACUAAUUCAGUACUGGAACUGAGAACUUACAUCUGUUCUCUCUGGAUGCAUGUAAGCGUAUGCGUAAUUCCUAAUUCAUGAUGGCAGUUCUCUGCCUGUUUAUCUCUGUCCUCACGUCUUUGCAGUGUUUUUGGGAGUUCAGGCUCUUGGUUCUCAUGUUGAAGUACUGGAAGGAGUCUUUCUGUGCAACAAGCCAUGCCUGAAUUUGAUAUGAAUUCUUGAAUUUGCCCCUACUUAUUUGGAUCUGGGCUGCAGUUCAGUUGGCUUUGAGUGAACUGUGGCUGUUUUCAGUUGGUAAUGAAACUAGAGACCAGGUAAGCUUCCUAGGGUUUUGUGUUACUUUUCUAACCAUGAAGUUUUCUAGAAAAGUGAAAUGUUACAUUACUCAGUGUGCCAAAAUAGAAUCAUUUGAGGCCAAAAAAAUAGGGGAGGAAUAAGGGGGUGGGAGGCGUGACGGUUAAUAAAUCCAAAUCUAUAAACACUUUGGCAGAAUAAACAGAGCUCACUAUUUAAAUUCCUCCAACCAACAUAUCUGAAUGCAUACGCAAAUAUAAUCACCUCAAGCAGUAUGUGGAGGUACAGAGUAGUAUAGAGGCUUGUUGUUAGCCCUUAUUUUCUGUGUUUAACCACAUCUUAUUAUGCUUUUGCUAUCUAAUAGGCAGUGUUCCUGCAUAGCUGUUCUGCUAAUUGUAACAAUACCACUGCAAUCGACAUUUAAAUCAGAGUUCAAACACAAGUCAAAAGUGGUUGGGAUGUUGGCUAGGUUAAGACUGCAGAUUGAAACCUUACAUUAUUCUGGCUAAUUUGUACUGAAAUGGUAUAGCCAAAUGCUUAAAACUUGCCCCAGAAAUACUAGGAACAAAUUGGAAAGGUGCAUAAAACUGCAGUCGUACUUGAUCUGCUGCCUGAAAUGUGAGGUCUACCAGAGCAAAUGUACUUACAGUAUAGUUAGAGAUGACCUCGAUUUAAAAACCUAGUGUUAGCUUUUCCAACAUAAGAUGUGAUGCUUGGUAGGAGUGAUUAUGGUCUACUCAGUUAUCUGUAAAUCUGAUUUUAAGAAAUGUGAAGUCCCAGACAUAAUUCUUUCUGUAAAGUUCUGUACCAACCCACUUGUAUACUGCUAUCACAGGGAGUUUUUGACCCUCAGCUGUUCUUUGUUGCUGCCUGUGCUAUAAGUACUUUCCUUCUCAGAAAAGUGAAGUCAUCUUGAGGCACUUGAUGACUUCCCAACAUGUGCUAGUCUAAAAAAAUAUGUAUUUUUAAUUGUUAGACUGUCUGAACUGUUUCAAGAAUAUAUACAACUUAAUAAUGUAUAUUUAAAAAUGUAGGGCUUAUCUGUUUUCAAGAAUUUAUGAGCUGACACUAGGAAACUGCUUCAGAUUAACUCUCGAACUUGCCAUUCCAAUUUUAUUUCAUUCUUUUGGUCAAGUUUUUGCCUUUAACUUGACAAUCCCUGUUAAAGUGCUGAACCAUAGUUUAAAUUUAUGACACAGAAUAUCCUACUUGUGUUUUCCUCUAUCAUUUAUUAUCGUCAAAUUGUCAAAUGGCUGUAUUUAUCUUAAGAAUGAUAUUGCCAACAGUGCUAAACCUAGCUGUAGACUUGAGAAAUAUUUGCUUUAUGUUGCCGAUUGCUCUUUUCAUCUGUUGCUGCUGUACCAUAGUGCCUGUUAUGGUGUUUUUCUCACGUUACUGAAGUUUGGCAUCAUCUUAUUUCUGCCAGCAUUCUUCAGGUUUUGAAGUAUGCACUGAGGUUGGCUGAUGAAAAUGGCAGUUCAAGAGUAGACAGUGCUAAUUCUUAUUUCUUGUUAAGAUAUCUUCUGACUGGUGAAUCAUCAUAGGUUUAGGUGAUUAUAGUAGAUUAGGUAUAAGCAGAAUUUAUGAGUAUAACCUGGUGAUUAGCAGUUUACAUUUUCCUUGAAUCUUAAUCAUCCACUGUUCAACAUUUAACUGGUGUUGCGAUGGUGUUCCUGUUGCAUGUUCAGUAACCAUCCAUCUUGAUAUUUCUUAUGUUUAAGGCUUUUUCUUGUUUUUAAAUGCGAAUGUGGGUUGUGAGUUGCAGCCCCUUGAAAGUCAAGGUACAUUUCCCAUUUUGAUGGUUUGAAUAAAGAUUUCUAACACAGCACAGCAAGGACCUGUGGCAGCUGAUCAACUAUGCUGAAAAAGGGGAGGUUUCUUCUCACCUACUCUGUUGGCAUCUAUUGUGUACAUAAAGUCUUGCCAGAAGGCAGGCAAGAUUUUGAUGGAGAUGCAUUGUAAAUACUCAUUUGUAAGAUCUGGCAAUCCAUUUAGAUCAACUAGUUUUCAGCUAUCCCCUGGCAAAGUGAAAGUAUGGGGAUUUCUCAUCUAGCCUAUUUGUAUCCUGUUCAUGCUGCCUUGCAGAUGUGAAUGCAUGAUUGAGAUGAAGCUUGAUUGCUUUACUGAACGACUGAAACUUGUGCUGCUUGCAGUGACUUGGAUUGGAUAAACCAUAAAUAUUCAUUGUAAAUUUUCACUAGACUUAUGAUAAUUAAACUUCAGCUUUUACCAGUGAUAAUUUAAUCUACAGCUCUUUUUUUGUUUUGUUUUCCCUAAAGUGAAACCCGUUUUCAUCUUGUGUAUAAAAGUGAAAAUUUACAGGACUACUGAGCAUUUAUUGUUUGUGGGAAGUCUUUCACUUGUUCAUUAAAAUUAAAUACUUCUCUUCCAGAGACUCCCAGCUGGAAACAUUUGUAUUAAGAGAUCUCAAGAUGUAGGUAGAAGGAACAGAUUCUUGUUCCUAACUGUGAGACUUGUGAUUUGCUUCAUCUGAAGGUACUUCUGUGUUCAUGCAGAUAAAUACAGAUCUCUGUUUUCCCCCCCUCACUGGCAAGAUAAACAUUUGUAAGCCUUGACAGCUUAGCUUGCUAGAUCCCGCUUGAGCAAUAAAAACUUUGUGUGGCACCUGAAACUUCAGAAGCUCUGCGCUGUGCAAAGCAGUCAUUUGCUUGGCGCAAGGGAGAGCUAUUUCAGUACUGUGUUAGUGGUUAUUUGUUUGUUUGCUUUGUGUUUGUUUGUCUUCCAAACAAGAACAAAUGUGAUCACAGUGGUAAAAGCGUAUCUAAGCUCCCAACUGUUGGCUCUGGUUUGGGAGCCCGAUGGUUAUUUGGUCCUUCUUUAUUGUGGACUGAGAUAAAUCAUUAGCUUGAACAUUACUUUCUGAAAUGACACUCUUUGUUCGGGACCUUUCUUGUCUAAAACAAGACUUCAAUCAUUGCUUGGAAUCUGAGCCAAAACUAUAGUCCAAUCUGAUGCUAACUGUAAGUGGACCUUUUCUUUACUGUUUCAGUACUUUCCCAUUUUUUUAAUGCCCUUAUAUCUCAGAUACAGUUGUAUUACGCACUUUGUCCUCCCUUACAUUUGCAUUUGGAAGACUUUUGCAACAUCAAGCAUCUGAAUCAGUUUGAUCAAGUAGAUAAUGUGCUCAGUUUUAACAGAUUACUCUGAAUGUCACCAGAAUUCACAACACUGAAUCUGCUUUGUCUGCUAAAACCACAGAUAGCAGUCAGUGCAGGUGUCUCUUGGUGCUGCUGCUUUGUCAGGCUACUUGACUAACAUAUGUUGGGGAAAAAAAAACUCUUCAGAGGAACAUUUGUUUUUCUUUCUGAUGUGGCAUUGGAUGGACGCUGAAUAUGCAGGCUUCCUUCAAUAUUUAUUAAGGAUCAUUUCUAUCAGUGUCUAAUUGAGGAAAGCAGAUUCCCACAGCAUCUCUUGAAGUCUAAAUAUUUUGCUGGACUUUGCUAAGAAUAUGUCAUCCUUCAUGAAAUUUUGUCCGUGUCAAAGUAACACGGGCCAUUCAGUUACUAGCUUCAGAUUCUACCCAUUGCAUUUAAUGACUGUUUGAAAUGAAGGAUAAUUGGUCUUUUUUCAGCCUGAUGUGUGAAUGCUUUCAUAUACUCAUCUAUUAAUUUUGUACACAUUUUUUUAAGAAUGAGUGUUUGGGCAAGGGAGGAGAAACCCAAAACACACAAAAGGUACUUUUUUUCCCUUUUCAUUUUCCCCUGACAUUUUCAAGAAUGUUCCUCUCUUAAUGUGAAGAUAUCAGACUUUUAUAAACACAUUGUUCCUGUGAGGCUUCAAAACUAAACAUCAUGUGCCUCCUCACCGAAGAAGUACUAAGUUAUUUGUCAUGGCUACCUAUGGAUAUCCAGCAUUUGUCUGCUAUUUCAAAAGGAUGCACGAACUGGAUUUGGACACCUGCCUAAUGGGAAGAACAGUGAUAUCCUCUCAAAUUUGCUGGUAAAUUAGUGCCCAGACUAUUCUUAUAACUCUGCUUAUAACUUGUUAUUCAUACUUCAGUUCAGAAUUUUAUGUGGUUCUAAUCUUCUCCAGUGUGGAGCUACUACUAUCGCAGAAGUAGGAACGUAUAAUUCUGGAGCAACAUAUUUAUUCCUAUCGUGCCAGGAAGAUCUUUUCUCAUAUAUCACAGAUACAAAAUGAGCAUAGAAGGACAAUAUGCCAUGCCUUCCUUACUGCUUAAUAUUUAGGAGCUCUAUGUUAGAAUAACUGCCACCCUAUUGAAAUAUAUUAUAAACUAUGCUAUUUGGGAAAGAACAAUAAUGUAACAGUAACUUAAAGUGUUGGUCUAACUAGGAUCACGGGGUGGAGGAAAAAUAACAUAGUUGGAAACUGCAAGGCAGUAAAGCUAGUGAAGUGAAAGAAACUGGGAAGCAAAAUAUAUUAGCUGUGAAGCUAUUAAAAAAAAAAAAGGUGGUUAAAAUAUGUUUGACGAAACAUUUACAUCCUAUUGACUCUUGCUCACUAUGAUAUAUUUUUCUUAUAACCAUAAAGGCUGAGAUACUGCUAAAAAGAUAAAUUGUUUCCUUUGGGCCCUUUAUAGAAAUCACGUCCUUCUGUGUGGUUGGCCAGUUCAGGUCAGAGAAGUGGGCAUUCUGUAGUGGAUGGUUUAGUUAACAGCAAACGUAACCUUAGCAAACCUCUGGAAUUUUGUGACUCCUGGAAAAACUGAUGUAUCGUGUUGCUUCAGUAACCAGAUAGUCUUCAUGGAUCCAAAAGUUAAACUUCCUGCUUUUACUCUGUGAUUGUGGUUCUACAAACAGUUCACAUAUCGUUCUCGAUGAAGUUGUUUUUAACCUCAGCAAAUGUAAGAGUAAAUUUCAGUUAGUAGUUUUAAGUCCUAAUAGAGGCCACAUUUCUUCAAGGCUUUGAAAUAGUUCAGUUAAUCUUUGAGAGGGAUGCCUUGCAAUCUCAUAGAUAUAUUCCAUCAGUAAAUUUCUUUAGAAAUAGAAAUAUUUGAUGGACCAUUCUUACAAGGACUCAUUUGCACAGGAAUAUAGAGAUCUCAUAGAUGAAAAGCACACCCAAGCUUUUAUGAAGUUGUUACUGGACUGAAAUAACUGGUCUCCUUUGUCAAAGGGACGUAGAAAAAUAAUAUCCCUAAAACUAGUAAUAAAACUUCAUGCAAAGCCUCUAGAGAAGGGAAAUAGCUGAAACCUCCCUGAAAAUCUGAGGAAUGUUUCUCAGCUUCUUUUUAGCAUCAGGAGUAAGGUCACUUUUGGUAUGAAAAAUUAUUCUGUCAUUAAUACCAGUCUCCGUUUGCAUGCUAAUGCAUUUCUCUAUAGCAAGGAAAUUGUGUGUAUUUUAGGUGCUAUUUAUGUACGGUUUGGCUUAUUUACGUUCAUAUUCAUUAACUUGUGUUAAAGAAACUGAAUACAAGACCUGGAGGAGCUUCAACUAUUCCCAUCUGUGUGUGCAUUGGAAUUUCUAAAAACUUGGCAUGGGAGGAUGCCCAACUGAAAACACAUUGCCAGUCCUCACCUCACACAGCAGGCUGAAGUAUAUGUAUGUUUACUCAUUAGAGAAGUUGAAAAGAAUGUGUUGCCUCAGAUGCUUCUUGGGGGAAGAAAAACCCAACAACUGAUAGUUCUGUUCUGGCUCUGAGUAUGUUGUGAUGAUUACAGCGUCUCAGCUAUCAGCUGAAAUAAUUUGUUUCUUUGUCAACAGUGAUUGCUGUUUCUUUUCUGACCACUUGUUGCAGGUACCCUUCUGUUCUGUGAACAGCUUUGCUCAUCCUCAGGAUUAAGUCAUCUUCUGGGCUCAGAAAUUCUUAACCUCCUGCUCCGUUUUACUGAUGAUCUAGCUUAAUAUCCUCUUGUGUACAUCACGUCUGGUAACUUGAUCCAAAUGAAGGACACCCUAUUCUGACCACAGUUUGUCUGGACAUCCUACACAGAACUCUUGGCAGAGUUAAAUUAUGCCUUUGCUCACCAAGUUGGAUUCAUUUAAGAUGAUUCAUCUUAAUGCCAAAAAUUUUGAAGCUUCGGGUGUCCUGGUCAGAGCCAUUCCUAUUUAACAUCUGGAACCAGUAGAAAAAUCAGCAUUUCCUCAAGGAAAGAAUUGUAGGUUUACGGAACAAGGCCAGGGAAAACCAGGUGCUUGUUAACUGUGUUGCACUGUCUUGUAAAUUAUGUUGCCUGAAAUAGCCAUGUAGCAGUGGUCUUCUAAUAGGGGUACUUGAACCAAAACAAAGGCAGUGAAGCACUCUGUGGCAAAGGUUUAAAGAUGAUAGUGUGGUUGGGAGGCUGGCGGUCACAUGUAGGUAUUGAAACAAGUCUUGUGAUUCUCAGUGUGUGAACAUUUCUUGUUGUAUACUGGGACUGUAUCAAAUGCUGUGUAGGAAAAAACCAUCGAUUUAUAACUUUUUUUUAAAAGGUUGUGUUUUUUUGAUGCCUGGAGUUGAAUCUGAUAGCUUUUGUCCUUUCAUGUCUAACUUUUGAAUGUGAACGGUCAUACUUAGCUUGAACACUGAGAUUUUGCCUAAGGAGUCUGAAUGGGCUAGGAUUUUGUUUGAUUUUGGCAUUUCUGCCUCAUGUUAGUUCCGUAUCGGAGGAGUACCAAACUGAAUUUUCUCCUGGAGAGUGAAGGGACUACUCAAACUAAAGGUAUGGGAUUCUGACUGAGGAUAUGAAACAGUGUUGCCAAAAGAUAAGAGGUAGCAAACUCUGCAUUAAAAAAUAAAGCUUCUCUGAUGUAUGGUACUGAAAAUGUGGAUGUAGUUUCAGAUGUCGUAAGUAGGAGUAAGAAAUGGCUAAGCAAGUGAUAACACCUUAGGGUAGAUGAAAGCUGUUUUAUUCUACUCCUGGUUUUGUUUUACAAAAAGGUUCUGGUGGAAGCAGCAACAUAAUCUUGACUAAAGUCUAGUUGGAGGCCAGUAAUGAGUGGAGUACUCCAGGGGUCCAUACUGGAUCUAGUUCUGUUUAACAGCUUUAUCAGUGCUCUAGGUGAUGGGGCAGAAUGCACUUUCAAUAAAUCUACGGAUGACAUGAGAUUAAAGGGAGUGGCCAUCACACCACUGAGCUAAGCAGUCAUCCAGAGGGACCAGGACAGGCUGGAGAGGUGGGCUGACAGGGAUCUCAUGGAGUUCAACAAGGGGAGGUGAAGAGUCCUGCCAACAGGGAGGAACAACCCCAGGCACCAGCACAUACUGGGGUAGCUGCUUCCAUCUGGGAAGCAGCUCAGCAGAAAAGGCCCUGGGAGGGUCCUGGUAGACACAGAGAUGAACUCUAGUCAGUACUGUGCCCUUGCAGCAAAGAAAGCUAAUGGUAUUCUUGGCUGCAUUGGGCAAAGUAUCACCAGCAGGUCAAGAGAAGUGAUUCUUUUCCCCUCUACUCACUGUUGGUGUGGCCACAUCUGGAGCAUUGUGUCCAGUUCCAGGUCCUGCAGUACUAAAUAGACAUGGACAUACUGGGGAGAAUCCAAUGAAGGGUCACAAAGGGAACUCAUCACUCUCCUCUCCUCUGAGGAGAGACUGAGAGAGCAAGACUGUUUAGCCAGGCAAAGAGACUCAGGGGGACCUCCUCAUUGUGUAUGAAUCCUUGAAGGGAUAGAGGGUAGAGAGGAUUUUUUUGGUGGUGCCCAUUGCCACAGCAAGAGGCAGUGGGCACAAACUGGAACGCAGGAGGCUCACUCUGCGCAUCAUGAAGCUCUUCUUUAACAUGUGGGUGACAGAGCACUUGCACAGGUUGCCCAGAGAGGCUGUGGAACCUUCUCCAUGGAGAUCUUCAAAAACCUCCUCGACACGGUUCUGGGCAAGCGGCUCUGGAUGUUCCUGCAUAAGCAAGGAUUGAGCCACAUGGACCCAGAGGGCCCUGCCAGCCUAAAACCAUUCUGUGAAAGUCAUAUCAGUGAUCUAAUAAAAGGAACAUGAGCAAUUCUAGAUAAAUGAAAAUCUAGAAUUGCUGAAAGAUUGGUACCUUAUUGAAGUAAUAGCUUGUGAUGAUGAAUAAUUUAGAGUUUGUACACCCUGAAGGAUCCUUAUGCACUGGGCUAUCCUUGAAACAAUGUCUCUCUAUGUCAAGAUUGUUAAUUUUUUUUUUUACUGUAGGCCACAAUUGCUUUUUAUAUGUAUUGAUUGGAGCUUACGACUGUAGAUACAUACAACUGCAGUGUCAGAAGCUUGCCUGUCCUUAUAGAUAGUCUGUUAGAAAGUUGGGAAGCAUCAUCACUAUCAAGUAUUUUAAAUGCUAAGGUCAUAACAGCAGUAUUUGCCAAGAACCACAUCCUGAGUAUUUGAUUCAGCUGGGCAAAUGCACUUCAGCUAUGGAAAAAGACUUGCAUGAGCAAAAAAGGAAGUAAUCCUGUUGCUGUGUACUUGGAAUGUGAUCGAAGGUACUUUCCAUUGUUCACAGAACAUCACUGGUUCAGUAUAACGUGCUACAAAUUCUUUAUGAAGAUCAGCUGAUAGAGUAAAAGUUGAGACUGAAAUUUUGGAUGUUUCACUGAAUUUUACAUUGGAAACAGUACAGUUCAGAGCUUAAUUCCUAUUUCUUCCAUUGAAAAAGUUACGUAGGACAUGCUUGAUACAUUCUUUAAUCUAACACAGCGCUGAAAUGUACAAGUCAGCCCAGUGAAGUCUUAUUUGUCUGCUUUCUCGUGGCAACAAUGCCUCUUUUCAUUCCCUUAGUUUUACCAUUACCCUGACACACUUUGGAUAGCACUAGUAACCAAAAUGCCAACGAUACCACUGGAUGAUGGAAAGACUGUGGGUUUGAAGACCUGUAUGCCUUUGUCCUCUUUCUCUAUUCUGUGAUCCAAACUUGUUUUGCUGGGCACUGUAUUUCCUGUGCCACAUGGACAAUAUUGAAUCCUAUCCCUCUUAAGUUCAGCUCCUGAAAAUAUCUUGCCUUUCCUUAUUCUUACAUCAAUCUUUCACUUUCUGAAUGUGGGAUGAAGCUGUCCUCACUGCCUGCUUGUUGUUUUCAUGAGUGUGCUAGCCAGCCUGAAAUGAUAUACUUCAUAUUACAUGCUUGCUGCCAAAUUUUAGUCAUCUGUAUUGCUCAAGCUGCAAACCUCCAAAGCAAACACAGAGAGGAAAUCAAAAUUAAAUUAAUCCUCUCCAAGGAUGUAUAAAGUAUAGUUGCACUGAGGUUUACAAGUUGAGGGUGAGAGGGACCGUUGGUAGUGUGUGUUAGAAGCCACUGGUAUGCACAGCCCUGUUCUAUUACAAUGCUUCUCUGGACUGGAAUUGCUGAGCUUGAAGACCUUAAGGUUUUUUUUUCAUGAUAGACAUGUAUGACUUUUCAAAAGCUUGGCUGGCUACAGAACCAUAGAGCAUUCUUGGCAGUUUGUGUUCACAGAAUUAAAGACAAAUGAGUUACCAUUUUCUCUUGAGCCCCAGAGCAGUGUUUUCGUGUAAUUUUUAGUCAAAGCAUCUUAGCUGAGGCUGAACAAAGUUCUGGAGUCUUCACUUUUGAAGAUGGUACCAAGGUAAGGUGGGAGACCUGCUUCUUACUGUUCUUGGUUGAGAGUUCAGGUUUAGGGACAGCAUUUAGUUUUAUUGUACUGCCACUGUCUCUAACACUAAGUUUGGGCCUGACCAGAAGAGGAAGUCAGUGUCUCCUUUCAUGCCGGUGCAGAGACUGCUUGCAUGAAAGUCCUGACAUGAAAGGAAACAGAGGCAUGAAGUAGUAGCUUGUGACUUUCUUGAAAUACACAGGCCAUCCCUAGCCUGUAAUGUGGAAUGUGGAAGACAUAAGGGAAAGAGGUGAGUGUCUGCUUGCAAGAGAAAAAAACUAAAUGGAAUUGCAUGACGUAAUUUUGUGCAGUUGCAGUUUUCAUAAUCUCACUUGAAAUGAAUUGAUAUUCCAUACUGCAUAUGUUUCAGAAAAAAUAUGCCUUAAGUUAAUAGCAGUCAGGAUGUAAGUGCUUUUUAAUCUGUUUCCACAAGCAGAAAGAUAGACUUGAUUGCUGAAGUGACCAUUGUAGCUAUUCUUCCACCAAAUAGCACAGGAAAAAGGAAUAAAAACCUUGCCUGUCUUUUUUCUUAACUCUUGUGGGCUUCAUGAUUGUAAUCCUAUUAUAGAAUGUCAUAGUGAGCACCAUGAUUUAUUUACCUGCUGCAUACUCUGAAGUUCAUUAAAUUAUUAGAAGUGGUUAAACUGUCUUGGACAAUUUAAAUGUCUGGUUAAAUCGCUUUGAGGAGCAAAGCCCUAACUGAGUAGCUUGAUCUGAGUUGUUCCGGGGGAAAUGCUUUGAAAACGAGCAUGCCUGGAGUAAAUGAGUUCAGAGGUUGUAAACGUUCCUUAUUUAUUCUUCUGCUACAGAGAAUAGUAUCUGAUUGCAGUCUUGCAAUAUCAGAGAUGAGUCUUGUGGAGAAGUAAACUUUUCAGAAGAGCUCCUGUGGUGGGAAGUUACCAGUCUGUUGUCCCUUUGCAAUUUGUCCCAUCUUCUGUAAGCUUAAUCUUCGUACAAGAACUACGUGAUUAACUUCUACUGGUAGGCAAGCAAUUGUCCAUGUCUUCCCUGCUAAAUGUGUCAAUUUAGGUUACUGGUGAAACUCAGACACCAUUAAUCAAGGAUCUCAUGUAGGCCUAGAAGGGAGAAUGUAAGAGUUAUUGUCUGUAUUUCUUGAUGACUGUACAAGAAAUCACUGCUUGCCAAAACAGUUAACAGAGUAGAAGUAAUGUACUGUGAAUGUCAAGUUGUUGAUCUGUAGACCUCAACAUUUUUCCAUGGCAUGCAGAGUCCAGCUGUGUAUUUAAGCUUGCUGAUAAUAGGCUGACUUUUUUUUCACAUUAUUGAAAGUCCUAAGCCCUGGCGUUUCAAAAGUAGGAGGAAACUUCUGGUGUAAUGAGAUGCCUUCUGAAAAGGGAGAUUGUUUUGAUGAGAAUCAGGUAACUUGCUUAUCUUAGAACCCAUCUAUGGAAGUUGUCAUUUAUCAUUUCAGUCCCUUUUUGCAGUGGGGAAAAAAAAACAGGAUGGUUGCCUGCCAUCAAAGCAAUUUUAUUUUUCUUACCUAUUUUUUUAUUGCUUUUCUUGUUUGUUUUCUAUUCUUGUUUUAAAAUUGUAGAUAUUAAGCUAUAAUUUUAAUGUCAUAUUGAAUUGUUUUAUCCUGUGUGUAAUGAACUUAUUUCUAAUUUGAGUAAAUGUGUAUUAAAAAUAUCUCAGUUUGAUGUUCAAAGGCUUUGGCAUAACCUUAAGGUUCUGACUUAAACUAUAAUAUUUAGCAAAAGCUUGGAGCACAAGAAGAUCUUUGAGUAUAUGGUCUAAUUGAUCAUUUAGCUGUGUCACAGAGGAGAAAAUAUACUAUCAAGGGUGACACGUCAUGGAGCAAUACUUAAACAUGGUCAGUAGGUUUGGCAAAGUUGCUUUAGGAACUGCCUGAUCCUAAGAAUAUAGCUUCGAAGUUCUGUAAACUAAACAGCAAAAUUGUUACAUGUUCACUAAGAAUUUAAGAUGAAAAACAUCACGCCCAUGGGGAAUACUUGCUCUUCCCCCCCCCCCCAUUUUCUUGUACUUCUCAUAGUGUAGAUAGGAGUUUCUGCCAAGCCAGAUUGGGUUAUGGAAGUCAAAUUCACAUCACCGUAAGAGGAAUCAUGUAGCUUUAAGUAGCUUAGUUUUCAUAAGUAAUUAAUUUAAUUCAAAUCUAGUUGGUCAUGAUUAAGAUUUUCACUCGUGACAGUUGUGGUUUAUUGAAAUAUCUGAAAAAAUGGAAAAUAAUUUUAUUUGCUUUGAAUUCUAAGUUAUAUAUGGUGUGUGUGUGUGUAUAUAUAUGCACACGUACAAGUGUUUCUCCAUCCUAUAGGUAUAUGAAUAAAAUAUGUGCAUGACUGGAAGCUCUUUAGUCCUACGAGGCAUUUUAGCAAAUAUCUCUUUUAGACAGUUGUAGCAAGACCAUUAUACUACAGAAAGUGAAUGUUUUCCUUUACUACCUUUAGCAGAAAACAAUUCUGAGACAUUAUUUUUGUUAUGAUUUUUUCACAAAAGUAGAUUUUCAUACUUAGCUAAUGUUAUAUUAGGUCAGGCAGCAUGACUUGAAAAGUAGUUUUUUGAGUCUUCAGAUUUCAAAUAUUUUUUUCCCAUCCACCUUCCACUUUUGUACUGCACACACAGAACCGUGGUGAGAAAAUUGUUAACGGUAUUGAAUUGCCUUACUUUUCCCUCUUUUCCUCCCUGUUUUAUUUUAGAGGCCAACUUAAUUCUCCAUCUAGGUAGACUUGAUGAAUGGAAUUGCUCCAAGUCUUUUGAGUGAAAACAAGGCAGGAAUAGAUGGGAGGGUUGAAAAUCUGCCAAAACAAACUUGAGUGGAAUAGCUUAGUCCAUCCAGUGUUGCACUUUGUAACACCAUGGGGCUUUUUAAAGGUAUUUCCGUUUUCAGAUAUAUGUGGUCCAUCGGGUGUCACAAGAGGCAAGUACCUUUGUAAUGAAUGAAUUCCACAUCCUGAAGCACUUAGGUGCAUCUUGGUAAGGAAGACGGGACUGAUCUAGGCACAGCUAUACAGUUGGAUGCUACAGCACCUUUCAUGUAUUUAAGGUAAAAAAAUGCUGCAUAGGUGGCAACAACCACCGCUGGGUCUUAAGAAAAGCAAGUGUAAGUGAAGUUCUUUCACAUUGGCCUUUAAAUGCCUUCCUUCAGUUUGCAAAGUGCUUAGAUAAAAUAUACAACCUUUUCUUAAGAUUGAAUUUCAGUACUUUGGAUUUCAAGCUGUAUGCUUACUUUUAAAAAGCAUCUUUGUAGAUGAUUUGAGGACUUAUGAGUGUAUCUUAUUAGAAGCGUAAUGAUUAGAGUAAAUUCAAGGGAAAAUAAGAAUGAACAGAAGUCCAGAAAGUUUGAGGCUACUGAAAUUCCUACAUCUAUUUAGCCUGUUAAAUUAGGGAAGAGGAAACACAUGGAUAUUUGAAUACAGAAAAACUUAUUGCAAAGAAGGAAGGAUUAAGGUCUAUUUGUGCUUGCUAUCGAUAAGAAAAUUAGAUCUGAAAGAGGGAAUUAAACUUAUUUAUAUUAGUCUGAUACUGGAUCAAACUUUUUUUCUGUGUUGAACGAGAUUGUGGUAGGGUUAGAGGUCUCUGCUGGAGAUGUGAAGGAAAGGUUGACCUAGAUUUUUUUGAGACUUACACUCUUGUAGCUAAUACUGCUGUGAAGUAGAUGAUGAAAGGGAGGCUAUUGCUGACCUGUGCAUCUCCACCUCUUUUUCUGCCAUCCUGUCAGGUUUGUUACUUACUGUAGUGCUGUUUGUAAUCUGUGAAUUGAACAUGAUGCUGCAUUAGGAAGUGUUCGUGUGUUUUCUCUGAAAAGAAAGCUGGACAUGUAUAUGAGAAUGGAAGGAAAAUGGGAAUAAAAGGUGAAGUGAUAAGAUUUAUUUCCUGGUCAGGAAGAGUGGGAUAGGAUAGAAAACCUCCAAAAUCUGUGGUGAGGUUUCUUAGUGUCUCAUGUUUGUAAAUGGCUUUGGAACCCACUGGCCAGCUCUGAUUCAUUGGCUGCACUUCUUCAUGGUGUACAAUGACUGCUGUUCUUGAAUUCUCUCCUUGAACAGCAGAGAUUUGUGUGGUGAAUCAGGAGGUGAUCAACAGUUUUUGAAACAGGCGGGUUUUAAUACAAAGCUGCAAUGUAAAAUUCUAUUUUAGGUUGGAUUAAACAAUAGAUUUAGACGUUAUAUACCACAGCUUCAAAUAACAGUCAUGGCUUUGAACUUAAGCACUCAAAAAUUAGAAAAUUCUGUGAACUUUAACUUAGUUUUGUCAUACCCUCAUAUUCUAACAGUCUGCACUGCAGAGCUUUCCUGCCUCCAUUGGUAUAGAGAUUGCUAUUUGAUCAAGUUCCUGCUUUAUUGUAUUUUUUUGCAGUCAUCUUAACCAUGUUACCAGUACUUCAGGUGUAGUCCUUACAGUAUAUUUUGGAUAGAGUGGUAUUUGCCUUUCUGAUGCAUCAAGAAAACUUUGUUCAAAUCAAAAGCAAUGACAAACUUUAAGUGCUCAUGUAUAGAAUUGCAGGGCUUACUUUUUCAAAGAAAAGCACUUUGUUGAAGCACAGAUCCACUGACCUACGUUUAGCAUUGUGUCUGGAAAUCAGACUGUACGUUAGGCACCCAGAAAAUGGGAAACUGACUACUAAGUCAUUUGGGAAUUGUUAAAUGUCUAAAGAUUUAACUCACACUCCCCACAUGUACAGAGUGGCUGUCCACAGCUCUGUGGACUUUUCUGGGGAUAGCUGGGCUCUUGUUUUUGUAAUGAACACCACCACAGAGGUAAACUCCUUUUGUGGAUUUUGCAGAGAAUGAAGUCUGUUAAUAACCUCAUUGCGUGGUUCUCUUUGAGCAGUGUGCCUCGUGGUUGUCGUGUGUGGACUUCCCUCCUGAGUGAAGGAGAGUGCAAGAAAAUGAUUUUGUCUUGUGAAUAAGUACUGCCACACAGGAGAAAAAGAGACAAACUAAUAGCACACUGACAUUUGUUUUCUAAUUCUCAAGUGCUUGACUUUAUGACCUUGCUAUUAUUUCUAAAUGUAGAAAAGAAAAAGUCUAUGAUCCCACUAUUGCUCAGUCCUUUCAGCUGAAUAGCAGGGAUAAACCCACACUUCUGGCAUCUGAAUUUGACUCUCAGCUUUUCUAAUGUGAAUUAAUAUUGCCUGAUUUCUGCAUCAAUUCUUGGUUUUCAAUGUUGUAAGAUUAGAUUUUUGAAAUAACUUUGUGUUUGUGUGUAUAUCUAUGUUGUCUUAAAUGCCACAUCUAAGGAUUUCUUUUUGCUACUUGAACCUGUGUUUCUAGUGUAAAUCAUAAAUUCCUGAGUGACCAUGAGAUGCUAGUGUGUGUGAAUACAUUCCUAUGCUGUUGUGUGCAAGCAGCAAAAAGCGUAUGUAAACUUCACAGCCAUCUUCCCUUCCAGAUGUAGCUAUCAUUCUCAUAAACCUAGGAUCCCAUUUACUGUGAUCUCUCUGGGUAAGAGAAGGGAGUGAGGUUGUAGUUUGUCUUUCUGCUGAAUGGAGGCCAAGCAGUGACUAAUGAAUAUAGCAGAUGUUUCUACUUUCGAAGGCUUUUUUAUUUUUUGGAAAGAACUUUAUUAAUCAAUCUAUCCUUCCUCCCUGGAGAUACUGGGACAGCAGUGUAGCUGAGAUCUAACAACUCAUUGCAUAAGAGAAAAGAGUACUGAUGUUGACCCUUGCUAUGUUGACAGGAAGAUUUGAAUCUAACCUGCUCUUUUUGCUCAAACACAUCCAAGUGGAAUUGUCUUUAAAUCUUUCAGCUACUGUGCUAUGUUGUGAUGUCAGCCACAUUGUAAGUAAGCAAUUUGGGAUGUAAGAAGUCAAAAGCUUUUCACUUGCACUUGUGUGUAAAUCCAGGGUUACUCCGCCGAUGUAAUAGCGUUACUUCAGGUAUUCAUUCAUCUUACUGUGAGAUUGUAACAUGACCUCUAGUCUUGAUCAGCAAACAACCUGUGUUUCAUUUGGUUUGCCAUUAGGAUAGCGGGACUGCGGAGCUGGAAAGUUGUGCAUGUUCCUUCUGCCCACUUUGUUGAUGAGCUUUCAAAGGCAUUCAGCUGGAGCUAAUUAAGUUAAGCGUGAGAGAUGACUGCUGUCUUGAAGUUUUGUACUUCUGAGUGCAAGGAGCUUCUUGCAGGCAGCCUCAGUUCUGGAGUUGUUUUUUUUUUAGUGGACAUUCUGCUACCUUCUCUUCCUGGCAAGGAGGUAAAGCUAGCAGCUGUGAGAACCUUUGUGAGAUAGUCAAGAGGAGAUGUUUGCGGUUGUGUUAGUCGUCUUCAGUAGUCAUGUAAUCAUGUGAGAAGAUCAUCAAAUAGAGAAUACAAAUGCAGAUGUCCUUAAAGUUUUCAUUCUUUUCAGCUCUUACCCAGGGACGUCCUCUCUGAGUGAAAGGAAGCUUUUCUCUUUGGUACAGAGUCUUGCUGGGCUAGGUGAGUGUGUAGCAGCUUCUGUAGACAGAGCAGGAUGCUCCUGCCUUAUGCUGACAUGUGCACCCAUUCCUCUAGUGCCCAGCACUGAGCUCUAACUCCAUUUGCUUCAGUUCCCUCAUCCUGCACCUAAGAGGCAAGAAUGCAAGGAUAUUUCACGCACCGCAUGCUGAUGGUCUGUGUGCAUCGAGAACGUAUGACCUUACAAAUUGAUUUCCUUUGAUCAUACACUGUCUCAUUGUUUGUGAAAUAUAUUUAAUUACAAGGGGCAAAGUCCAGAAUGAUGUAAUCGUCAUGGCACCAUUAAUCAGUACAGCCAGUGUGCUUUUCCAGAUGGAAUAUGGUGUGUAUAUAGAAUAUACAAUAAGUUAUGCACAAAAUCAAACAUCUAAAUGAGCAGCUUCAUUUAAGGCAUGCUUCCAGAAAUAAAUUUAAAAGAACCUCCUUGAUAAGCAGGUAGUUGCAUCAUUUCUGCUGAUUGCUUGCAGAUUUCUGCUGAGGCGAGAAGACUUUACCAAGGCAGAUUCACAAACCAGUUCUGUCUUGAGCCACCCAGUUACUGUGAGAACAGUAUGCUUGGAAACCCCGUGUCUGUGCAUGUGAACAUUACAGUGUAACUAGCUUGCUCCUUUUACCUUUAAGGUCAGAAAAUUGUAAACUUAAAGGUCAGUAACUUUUUAGUGCUGAUUUCUCAGAGUCAGUAAAUCCCAUGAUGAGAUUUCAUAUAGGAAUAUGAGAUGAAUAUAGGAAUUAAAUGUGGGAGUGAGUUAUGCUUAACUUUCUUUCAGUCCACAGAAUUUAAGCAGCAGGCUUAAAGUACUGCUUUGGAGGGAAAAGCAGCUCCUUAUGGGAAGCUAAAUCAGAUUUAGGCCAUAUAAUCUUUCUGUAUCUCUAUGAAGUGGUGUGAAUUUCAAGUCAGUUGGAAAAAGCUCUAGAAAUUCAUUCUAAACAGCAAGUGUUGCUUUGCUUUUCAUACCAAAGAUGUGUUUUCCUGUAAUGAUUUGUGUGUGUACGGACUACUGUCAAACACACAGGCCUGAGCCCUUUCUAGCAUGAAGUUCAGAAGUUUCCAAUGCACAUCUCUGUUCUCCUGUGCUAUGUGGGAGCUGCUGAUGGAGCGGUGCUGGUGUGUGCCUCGCUCUGGAUGUGCAUGGGCAGAGACAGUCCUUUUAUUCUGAUUCUGUGGCAGGAGAGGGAAGAACAGAACCAGGUCUGGCAAAACCCUUUCAGUCUGUGGCCGUAAUCAGUAGAGGCUGUUUCAGUUAAACGCCUGGUGACAAAGGAUUGUGUGUGCAAUUGGACAGUAAAGGUGGAAUUUCUGUCUUAAAGCUUUGCUUUAUUCUUGAGCAUGGUGGCUGCUUAGAGGUGGUCCAGCAGUAAGAUUUAACUGUGUUGCUUCUUUAUUCUUGUUCCUACUUUGCAGUGAAUGUUUAUAUAUUUUGCGAAACGAUGAUUCUGAGCACCUCCAGUCCAAUCUGGGCCUUAUUUUAUGAGCUAGUAUAUGUGUGGGGCACAUAGCGAUAACCAUAAAGAGCUUUUGAGUUGCUGCUGUUCUUGUGUGGCUUUGGUUUGUUUUGUGUGACUUAAGCUAGGGAAAGAGGCUCUCGAUACUGUAUUAAUGUUUCACUUGUCUUCUUGUUAGAUGUUUUCAUGAGGUUGUAAGCAUACUGCAAGACAAGAAGAAGCUUAAAGAUGAGUUCUGAAAUUGUUUAGCUGAGCUUGGAAUAUCCUUCUUGGAGCAAGACGGGGAAGGAAAAACUAGUGGAAAAAAGGCAGCAACUGAAGGGGGGAAAAAGCUGGAUGGGUUUUACAACCAUAAAUGGUAAAAGUAACCUUGCUCUGCUGCCAGCAAGCAGAACGAUGGAAUAAGGUUUUGAUUUACAGGAACAGCUCAGCAAGGGCCUUGUAGAGUGCUUCAUGCCUGCUAUAAAAAUGUGAUUAGCUAUAAAAUGGGAGAGAUUUAACAAGAGAAUUUAAGCAUCGGCAACAGUGCUGUUUCAUGCAGAUUGCGGAUGCCUGCUUUUAGAGUUCUGGGAACACAGGCUAGUUAGAAAACUUCAUGUUUUCCAAAGAGAGAAUGUGGAUUUUUUUUUAAAAUUUAUUCCCUGACUAUGUUAAAUCUUGUUUCCUUGCCCAUUCAUUGUGAGUUCCUUAAAAAUUAAGCACCAUUUAUCCUUGUAAUUAUGUCUUCAGAUUACCAUCUCCCAGGAGGCGGGCUUACAGUAAGUUGCGUGAGGACAUGUGGGUAGGUAUGGGAUGCGUCCCUUACAUGCCAAUAUUCUCUUGUAUUGUCAUAUCAGCUGAAGGGUCUCUCCCUGCUUGUAUAUUACAGCUUUUGCCAAGAAGGUAAAGGUAAGUUUAUCAGCUGUAAAUUCAUGUGAUCGGUUGACCACUUAAAGCUUCACAGUUGCAGAGGGCAAAAGCCUCUGCCCACUUGACAAUCUGCAGUGAAGGAGGCUCUGUGCUUUUCUUAAUAGAAAGCUGAUGGGUAAAUGACUUUUAUCCAAAUGAUGCUGGCAGGCAAGAGAGAAGGAGCAGGAAGUAUUUUUGGAUGCCCCUUGUGGUUCCUUAUGGGGACUCCACUGGACAUGAGGAGGGAGAAAGGAAAUUUGUAUUCAUGUAAAAAGUGAACUAUCACGUUGAUUUUGAACUACUAGCUGUCCUUGUUAAAAGUGGAGGCCAAAUGUUUCCUUUAAGGCAGUCACUACAUGUAUUCAAAUACAAGAGAAGAGGCUGCAGUUGCAUACCACUAUAUGACCUGAACCAAAACAUAAUUAUCCAUUGCUCUUAAACCAAGUUAAUCUGCCUUCAUCUUGUUUUCUUUGCAUCUCCUUAACAUUAUUCCUCUUUCACAUAGUUUAGAAGCAAUUGUUUAAAGACUGGACACAUACCUGAGAGCAUGCAAGAAUCAGAGUUAAAUUAUUAAUGCUAGUUACUUUAUAUUAAAUUGAGAAUCAACUCAAGCAUGGUGUAGACAUCGAUGUAGUAGAAUGUUUAUGUGCAUAUAAACCUGUAGUUAUCUUAAGAUACCAAUUUUGUUUCUUUUUUAAUCAAAUGGAAACUUUCUUUGCUAGUAAGAAAAAGUUUUUUUCUUGAUUGUUUUUCUGUGCUUAUAUCUGUCAAAAUUACGCAGCUGAACUACUGAGUAUAUAAUACACCAUGCGUAAAUUCAAAAUCACAGUAUCUUUUAAGUGCCUAUUGCUGAAAGCUGAGAAAUGCACUAAUAUUUUAUACUUAAAUGUAUAUUUUGUGCAACAGUGGAUACGGCUCUGCCAGUAUUUCAGCACUGAACUCUUAAUAAUGCAGUAUUGAACCUUUGCAUGGUGUUGGAACUGUGUUCCAAAUCGUUUGGAGAAUACUAUCCUCAAGAAAUGAGGGAUAAAAGCUAAGUCAAGAGUGUAUGGUGUGUGUGUGUGAAAAUUCUACAUUUAAUUUUGCCUCUUAAUGGGGAACUGCCUUGAGAAGGAUAGUCCUGUUGUCCCAAUGAGUUGCACAAAGUGGCUCCUCACUAUCUGGUAGGUGUGAGUUAUGCAACUGUGAAUGUAAUCAUCUGUGUUCUUGUUCUGGUCUCUCAUUUCCUGGUUGCAAUGUGCAAGUCUUUUCCCCAAAGUUAAGAAGUGUAUCUAGUUACUUUUACAUUUUUUUAUAGACGAGAAAUGAAAAACUGCUAAGCAAUUCAGAGCCUGGCACCUGCACUUCAGAUUUGUUAUUGCUCUGUGUUAGCUUUGUUCACUUCAGUCUCCUGGACUGACUGAAACACACAGCUGUACGUACUAUAAUUUUUUUCUGUAGUGUUCAUGGUGUAGGGCCUAAAGAUGGCUUGCCUCUGCAGGGUUUUUGUAUCACCUCUGUGGUAUCUUUGUAAGUAAACGGUUUCCCAUGAUCUUCAUUUAAAUGAACUGCAACUGCAAUCAUUGGUAUUGGAGCUGACUCUUGCAGUGUUACUGAUUAAGCCGUGCUAGCACUUUCUUAACUCUAGUGCAGAAUUUUCUUUCCUGCUCAAUAAAGUAGGAACUUUGCAAUAAUAAUUAUUAUUUGACCAACUCUAAGAUGGGUGCUGACUUGCAGAACAGGUGAUCCUGCAUGUACUGCUCAGCUGACUGUUGUCUUAUCAGGUCUAAAGCAUGACUUACUCUAUAAUCACUGAUGUUAGUGAUGAACUGAGCUUGUCUUAGCCUUUGCACCUUUAAAGGUAUUUUGACAAAUAUUUGGGGGCUAGUUUUUCAGCUGUAUGUCUUGAGUGUAAUGCUCCAACUAAUCUCUGUAGACGUGAAUCUCAGUAGAGAGAAUUGCUCAUUCAGGAAGUUUAGGAUUAUUCUACUGUAGUGAUAGUGUAGAUAACACUGACUUUUCCAUUGGACUGGGGCAAAACAAUUAAGUAGAUGUUUCUUACAUAAACAAAAAUAUGUUCAGGUUUGUUUUAGCAGUCCUUAGGAUUUAAUUUGUGAUGCUGUUUCACUGAUGCAAGCACUAAUCCUUGCAUUUUUAUGCUUUUAAGUAACCUGCAACGUAGUAGUACGAAAUAAAGUAAGGGACAAAAGUGGUAUUUGUAAGCUUUUAUUAUGAAUGCUCGAAUAUCAUGGUUUUAUCAGAACAGUGGAGAAUAUUAUUGCCACACUAAGAUAACACAGCAUAAAUAUCCUACGUUAGGGUUUAAUUGUGCUCUUUUUUCAUGAAUUUGCCUCACUUGUUUAUUAUCCAUGUAUUUAACACUAUGGAUUGAAUUUCUGCUUGGAACAUAAUUUGUUACAGUAUGAAGCAAUAUGCUAAAAUAUUUUAAACAUUUUUUGAGUGAUACAAUAUGCUUAAUAUGUUAUAUGAAUUGCUGAAGUGCAUUAAGGUCGUGGAUAAUUCUAAUCCAUCACUUCUCAUUUUUCUUGGCAGUUAAAAGAGAAAAUCUUUGCUAAGAAGGGAAGAGAGCUCAGUGCUUCCUUUGCUCCUUCUUAUCUGACAAAGACAGAAAAGACUCCACAGCAGUGGAAUCUUGAAUAGUUGCAACAUCUUAUUUGAAACACUAAACCUAUUGAGAGAAGCUGGACCUUAUUCAUAAUUACCAUAAAACCUAACCCAGGUUAUUCAGCUGUGUUGCUCUAAUGCAAUCCUUAAUUUCCCCCGUUAUUGGUUCCAUACUAUAUUGUAUCAGAACUUUUUCUGUGUAUUCUUAUUUUGAUCCCAUCAGGAUCUGAAUAAAGUGAGUUUGGCUUUGUUUUUUUAAUUAUUUUUUAUUUUUUACUUUCACGAAUUGAACCCUUACAGGGUCCCACUGGUAAAUAGCACUGAGUCAGUGCCUUGCUUACAACUAAAGAAUCAACCUUCUUUAGACCGUGAUCUUCACUUUCCUGCAUGAGUUUAUAAGAAAGUAGAAAAGGCAUUGGUAGCAACUUACUUGCAAGUGCAGGACUCUUGGCUCAUUGUGAAGUAUAGAAUUGCUGUUAUAGGUUUAAUCAAACCUGGCCAAUGAUGCGAGGGUCAGCUGUUGUGCAGGAGUGUACUGCUGUAUGGCUUUGUCACAGGGUGGCUUAUAGUCCAUCAGCACUCCUCUGUUCUCAAAGGUGUCUCUUUGGUAGUGUGUGCAUGAGUGCGCUGCUAUGGUGGUGCCACAAAACAUACAGUGGGGUGUCCACUGGCAAACCUGCUGUGUGUUUAGAAUUCAGGGGAAAGCAAAGGAGUGACGAUUGUCUUCAGGACUCGGACAAUAUGAAGCUGAAGAAGACAGAUCUAGUUCUGCUGAGCUCCAAAACUCUACAGAAUAUUUGUUACAGUACAGAGUGGAAGUGACUUGCUUGCAAUUCUCCCAAACUCCAGCUUUUAUCCUAACUCAGUUAGGAUGCAUCCUCUGGCUAGUAACUUACUGGAAUUAAUUGCAUUGGACCCUGCAUAGAGUACUUAGGGUGGGGAAGACUACUACUAACUGUGUAAAAGCUACUAACUGGUUCCAUGUGUUGAAUUUCUUCUUUUCAUUCACAUCACCACCAAGCACACCAUUGCUUUCAGGUAUUUAGUCUUGGCUCAAAGUAAGAGAAUGUAAUGUUCUUUUCUCUGUCUUCAUGUCUUUGCCCAUGUCUUUCUCUCCCUUGGAACUCAGAUGCCUACAGUACUUAGUUGUAUCCUUCUGGAUCUUUAACACUCCAAACUUCAUUUAUUCUCAUCUGCAUUCCAUUUUAUACCCAUAGAAAUUAAUUUAAUUUCCUGUGCAUACCUAUCUCCUCCCCCCCACUUUUUUUUUCCAAUCUAUAGCUUUGUGCUGUUUCUCAUUAUCCUUCGCUGUGAGGUUUUGUGAAUGUUUUCAAAGUUGAGGGGGCUUAAUCCCCUUAAGUGUUACUCCUCUCCCAAAAGUACAACCCUUCUUUGUCAGACAUUUAAACAGUUGUCUUUGAAUGUUAGAUCACAAUUAAUUUGUUCCCUUUGUACAGGAAUUGGUGAAACUGGGCAGAGCCAGACAUCACAGUGAAAAGAAUAUUGUAGUGUUACCAACAGCAGUUGUGUGGGAUUGUGGGGGGUACCUCUGGGGUAGGUUCUAUACAUAUAUCCUGUAUCCUCUUAACACAGGUUCUAUAGGAUAACUUUCUUUUGGUCUCUUCUCUUCAUUUUCAUAGGAGUAAGGCAUCUUCCACAAACUCAUACCACUUCCAUGGCCAGAGUAGCAAGUUAAAUGUUUGUAGCUGUUCUGCGUCCAGCAGUGAUGUGUCCUUGUGCCACCUGUGGGAUAGGCUGAUAUCUGGUGUCAGGAUGUUUGCUAUCUUGGGGAGCACUUGUUAGAGGUAUGAUUUUGAGAUCGUUCUACUUCUAGAAAGGAAGGUCAUCAGACACAAAUCUAGAUAAUGGUCUGCAGGGGAAGUACUAAGUCAUGGCUUGAACCAGUGAUUGAGCAGCUGGUAUGAAGGCAGCACCAACCCAGGGGGGCUCAGCUGCAUGCAGUGCACCUGAGUGACUGCAAGGGGUGGAUCCUGGCUCAUUCCCAGACCUCAUUUAAGAGUUGGCAGUGGAGGCAAAGGUAUUUUACUGGAGAUCCCUGCCUACCUGAGGCCUUCUGAAGGUAAGCAGCUUCUUUACUUCUGUGCUCACUGCUGUUGCAUUUAAGUAAAUCCUUGCUUUUGCAGCGGGGGAUCUUGCUGCUCUGCUGUCAUUGUUGCACUUUCCAUUACGUUACAUGGCUAUUUGGGAGUACAUCGAAGUCCAAGAAAACAGAGGGAGUACUAGAGUUCUGUUUUAAAAAGGCAUGGCUUUGAAUUCUUCCUCUGAAAGAAGCACUUCUGUGUCUUCACUUAAAUCUUUCUGAAUUUUCUAAUAAACGAAUUAGUUUUAUUAGUGUAAAGACUUUCAGAAGAUCAAAAUUUGUUUAUGAAUAGAUGAGCGAAGGAAAGCUGAAGGAUCUAAAGCUGACAACUGCCUAUGUUUUAUCUGUGAUCUUUCAAACAUUUCAGUCACCCUCUGAACUAGCUCCUUUUUCAGGCUGAGAUUGAAUUGAAUAAUUUGAUGGUGAAACAACUUCACCAAACCCAAAGUACUCCAGUUACAAGAAAAUAAAAAUGCAGUGUACUAAAAAUGCCUGUCUUUAUCAUGCUUAUGAGCAGCUGCUGCUGACAAGUUGUUCAUUUUUUGCACAAUAUCUACAGAGCAGUUUCCAGAAACCCACAGCAGAAACAGUCCUAAAAUACUGGGCUAUGUAACUGUCUGAGGGCAUAGACAGAAACCUGUACUGCUGUCCAUGGUUCAGUUUCAUUUCGGAGGGAGUAGAUGUGGCUGGAAGCACAAGGAGGUAAUUCCAAACGAGGCAUACCUAUAGUUUGAACUAAUAAUUUUGAUAAUAAAUAGUGACUUAGAGCCUCAUGUUCUACACUUCUGUUCUCUCUGGAGAUUUGGGCUGGUAGAGUCUCAUGACUGUGUUCUGCUUUGGGUCUUAAAUAGACAUAUGUGAUUUACAGACUGCAGCCAGAGUUUCAUGGCUGAAAAAGGUCUCUAGAAGUAGAAAAGAUGGCUCACUUGAAAUGCAUUUUAGUGUCUGAAGAGUUCACUGUGUACAGUGUCAUUCUUUGCAGAAUUAUUUUGCUGGAAGGCAAGUAUAGAAAUGUAAUUUGCGUGGGAACAGUAACUUCUGAGUUGUUGUCAGCUCCAGUUGCACAAUGCUGUUCUGACACCAUCCUUCAUGAAGCCCGUGCUUACUGUUUUAUCCUGAAAUCUUGUAGGAAAGCAAAAUCCGAUAUAAUCUUACAGAGAGUAUACCGCACUUGUUAGCGCAUAGACAUUACUCUUCCUACUGUUAACCUAAAAUAAUGUAUUCUCGUGUUCUGUAACCAUUGUGUAGCAAUCAGGAAAAAGCAGAUAACAAGUCGUCUGCUGUUUUGAUGGUAGUAUUGCCCAUAAAAUUGAGCUGACAGGAAAAUUAAUCUACUGCAUUUUCUGUUACUGCAUUUUUGUAGGUCACUGUCAAUUCUGGUAGUUAAGAGUAAAUUGUUAUCUCUAGAACUUCAACACAAGGGCUCAGUCCACCAGCUUGCCAUGAUGAUUUCUGAUGAAGGAAUUAUUUAAUUCUUUUUCCCUUGAUGAUUACUCCUAGAAGUGACAGUCCUGUCCAUCCUGGUUUUUUAUUUGUCUGAACACCCUAAGUUGUACGUGGAAUAUCUAAAAUCUUUUUUGUGAAGAUGGGAUUGUGCUCUUGGCUGACAUCUAGUUGAAAAGGGGAUAUGACUGUUUAUAAGGGUGGAUAGUGACAGGACAAGGGGGAAUGGUUAUAAACUGAGACAGGAGGUUUAGAAUUAGGUAUUAGGAGGAAGUUUUUCACGCAGAGGGUGGUGACACACUGGAAGAGGUUGCCAAAGGAGGCUGUGGAUGCCCCAUCCCUGGAGGCAUUCAAGGCCAGGCUGGAUGUGGCUCUGGGCAGCCUGGUCUGCUGGUUGGCGACCCUGCACAUAGCAGGGGGGUUGAAACUAGAUGGUCAUUGUGGUCCUUUUCAACCCAGGCCAUUCUAUGAUUUUGGUUACGUAGGCUGUUACAUGUAUUCGUUUCAAUGUCAUUUGGUUCAGUUAGGUUAGGAAAAUCAAAUUUCAGUCCUACCAAUAGUUAUAAAAGUAUUUAUUGUAUUCUGAUGAAAUGCUGAAGGAGAAGAGAGCUCUAUUUGAUGUAAUCUGGCAGUUUUCCUGGAGAGCUGCGUGUACUCUGUUUUUCUCCUGAUACUAAGUGAUCUAUAUUUUGUGGACCUCCAUGCUCAAUCAAGCGCACUUCCAUCCUUUGAGCCUCUCCUCUGAUACCUGUUGUCAAAGUUAUUCAACAUUUUCAGUAUGAAGACUACUGCCAGAAUUCUUUCCAAUUACUCUUAGUAUGUGCAUGCCUAUCUGCGUGGGCACAGAUUUGUGAACAGAGAUUUGGCUUAUUUUAAGAACUUUUGUCUGUAUGGUUGCUGGUUGGUGGUAGCUUAAAAAUGGCUUUGACAGAAGCAGAGGAGGAGAGCCUGCAUAAAACCAGCUCUAGUCUUUUCAUUUAGCAGAAUUCAGCUUUUAAGAGCAUUUAGGGCAAAGAUGGUUCUUGCAGAAGCAGCCUCUGAUUUGUGACACUAAAAGCAGUCUGAAAAUUGCUG
Molecule: long non-coding RNA, 32759 nt
Filed under: Gallus gallus (chicken)
Lineage: Eukaryota; Metazoa; Chordata; Aves; Galliformes; Phasianidae
Source: RNAcentral